UACGGGGGGGGCAAGCGUUGUUCGGAAUUACUGGGCGUAAAGGGCUCGUAGGCGGCCAACUAAGUCAGACGUGAAAUCCCCAGGCUCAACCUGGGAACUGCGUCUGAUACUGGAUGGCUUGAAUUCGGGAGAGGGAUGCAGAAUUCCAGGUGUAGCGGUGAAAUGCGUAGAUAUCUGGAGGAACACCGGUGGCGAAGGCGGCAUCCUGGACCGAGAUUGACGCUGAGGCGCGAAAGCCAGGGGAGCAAACGGG
RNAcentral lists this ribosomal RNA (253 nucleotides) under uncultured bacterium. RNAcentral describes it as "partial 16S ribosomal RNA". It matches the Rfam family "Bacterial small subunit ribosomal RNA", at positions 524 to 776 of the family's 1533-position model. The record is from RNAcentral.